UUAAGGUUGACCUCGGAUCAGGUAGGAAUACCCGCUGGACUUAAGCAUAUCAAUAAGCGGAGGAAAAGAAACCAACAGGGAUUGCCCCAGUAACGGAUGAGUGAAGCGGCAACAGCUCAGAUUUGAAAUCUGGUCCCCAGGGCCCGAGUUGUAAUCKGUAGAGGAUGUUUUUGGCAAGGCGCCGUCCGAGUUCCUGGAACGGGACGCCAGAGAGGGUGAGAGCCCYGUACAGGCGGACGCCGAGCCUCUGUAAAGCUCCUUCGACGAGUCGAGUAGUUUGGGAAUGCUGCUCAAAGCGGGAGGUAAAUUUCUUCUAAAGCUAAAUACCGGCCAGAGACCGAUAGCGCACAAGUAGAGUGAUCGAAAGAUGAAAAGCACUUUGAAAAGAGAGUUAAAAAGCACGUGAAAUUGUUGAAAGGGAAGCGCNUGUGACCAGACUCGCGCCCGGCGGAUCAUCCGGCGU
This 463-nucleotide ribosomal RNA is filed under the name Microascales sp. Its description in RNAcentral is "eukaryotic LSU rRNA". Lineage: Eukaryota; Fungi; Ascomycota; Sordariomycetes; Microascales. The record is from RNAcentral.